GAUGAACGCUGGCGGCGUGCCUAAUACAUGCAAGUCGAGCGAACAGACUAGGAGCUUGCUCCUCUGACGUUAGCGGCGGACGGGUGAGUAACACGUGGAUAACCUACCUAUAAGACUGGGAUAACUUCGGGAAACCGGAGCUAAUACCGGAUAAUAUAUUGAACCGCAUGGUUCAAUAGUGAAAGACGGUUUUGCUGUCACUUAUAGAUGGAUCCGCGCCGCAUUAGCUAGUUGGUAAGGUAACGGCUUACCAAGGCAACGAUGCGUAGCCGACCUGAGAGGGUGAUCGGCCACACUGGAACUGAGACACGGUCCAGACUCCUACGGGAGGCAGCAGUAGGGAAUCUUCCGCAAUGGGCGAAAGCCUGACGGAGCAACGCCGCGUGAGUGAUGAAGGUCUUCGGAUCGUAAAACCCUGUUAUUAGGGAAGAACAAAUGUGUAAGUAACUAUGCACGUCUUGACGGUACCUAAUCAGAAAGCCACGGCUAACUACGUG
Molecule: ribosomal RNA, 497 nt
Filed under: uncultured bacterium
Lineage: Bacteria
Description: partial 16S ribosomal RNA
Rfam family: Bacterial small subunit ribosomal RNA
Source: RNAcentral